AAAUUGAAGAGUUUGAUCAUGGCUCAGAUUGAACGCUGGCGGCAGGCCUAACACAUGCAAGUCGAACGGUAACAGGAAGCAGCUUGCUGCUUUGCUGACGAGUGGCGGACGGGUGAGUAAUGUCUGGGAAACUGCCUGAUGGAGGGGAUAACUAC
This 155-nucleotide ribosomal RNA is filed under the name Salmonella enterica subsp. enterica serovar Saintpaul str. S-70. Its description in RNAcentral is "partial 16S ribosomal RNA". It matches the Rfam family "Bacterial small subunit ribosomal RNA", at positions 1 to 150 of the family's 1533-position model. The record is from RNAcentral. Lineage: Bacteria; Pseudomonadati; Pseudomonadota; Gammaproteobacteria; Enterobacterales; Enterobacteriaceae.